Molecule: ribosomal RNA, 768 nt
Filed under: Triticum aestivum (bread wheat)
Lineage: Eukaryota; Viridiplantae; Streptophyta; Magnoliopsida; Poales; Poaceae
Description: partial small subunit ribosomal RNA
Source: RNAcentral
AUGCCCCCACCAAACCCUCAGCCUGGCCCUUACGACAAUCCAUUGUAUGGUGCCAGCUCGGGUCUGAUUAAAACUGGGUUAGGAGUAUACGGGGAGAAGUUCCUCGGCUCCAGUUCAGAAUUCAUGCAGAGCAAUAUCAGUAGAUACUUCUCCAACCCACAGUACUACUUCCAUGUGAAUGAUCAGUAUGUCAGGAACAAGUUGAAAGUCAUACUGUUCCCGUUCCUUCACAGGGGGCACUGGACUCGGAUAAGUGAGCCUGUGGGUGGCCGGCUGUCGUACAAACCUCCAAUGUACGACAUAAAUGCGCCAGAUCUGUACAUCCCUUUCAUGGCGUUCGGCACCUUCAUUAUUCUAGCAGGCUUCACACUAGGCUUCAUGGGGAAGUUCACUCCAGAAGCCAUAAACCUUCAGUUCACAAGAGGGCUGAUUGGAUGGGGCCUACAGAUCGUGUUCCUAAAAGGGCUGCUCUACUCGAUGGGCGGAGGCGAGGUGCCGCUGCUCGACCUGGUGGCCUACAGCGGGUACCUGUUCGCGGGGCUCUCCCUGGCCAUCGUCGCCCGGCUCCUAUGGGCCUACUCAUACUAUGUGAUGAUGCCGUGGAUGAGCCUGUGCAUGGGGAUCUUCUUGGUGAGGACGAUGAAGCGGGUCAUCUUCACGGAGAUGCGGGGCAGCGAGAGGCACUCGACGCGGCAGCACUACUUCCUGCUCUUCAUGGCCAUCGUGCAGUUCCCCCUCUUCUUCUGGCUCGGCAGCAUAGGCGCAUGA